RNAcentral lists this ribosomal RNA (163 nucleotides) under Leohumicola verrucosa. RNAcentral's name for it is "partial small subunit ribosomal RNA". It matches the Rfam family "Eukaryotic small subunit ribosomal RNA", at positions 1639 to 1799 of the family's 1831-position model. Lineage: Eukaryota; Fungi; Ascomycota; Leotiomycetes. The record is from RNAcentral.
CGUUGAUUACGUCCCUGCCCUUUGUACACACCGCCCGUCGCUACUACCGAUUGAAUGGCUCAGUGAGGCUUUCGCACUGGCCCAGGAAGAGUGGCAACACUCAUCUAGGGCCGGAAAGUUGUGCAAACUUGGUCAUUUAGAGGAAGUAAAAGUCGUAACAAGG